RNAcentral lists this transfer RNA (76 nucleotides) under Staphylococcus aureus. Its description in RNAcentral is "tRNA-Lys". It matches the Rfam family "tRNA". From Rfam's summary of the family: Transfer RNA (tRNA) molecules are approximately 80 nucleotides in length. Their secondary structure includes four short double-helical elements and three loops (D, anti-codon, and T loops). RNAcentral also lists the same sequence under 1 other name. The record is from RNAcentral. Lineage: Bacteria; Bacillati; Bacillota; Bacilli; Caryophanales; Staphylococcaceae.
GAGCUAUUAGCUCAGUUGGUAGAGCAUCUGACUUUUAAUCAGAGGGUCAGAGGUUCGAAUCCUCUAUGGCUCACCA